Molecule: small nucleolar RNA, 142 nt
Organism: Lethenteron reissneri (Far Eastern brook lamprey)
Lineage: Eukaryota; Metazoa; Chordata; Hyperoartia; Petromyzontiformes; Petromyzontidae
Source: RefSeq, a predicted model, not a curated record
GUACGGCCCUCUCGAAGCCGCAUUUGGCUGCUUCUGUGCCAAAUAGUGGUCAAUAAGGUGCCAACAGCAACGUGUUGACACGACGGUCGCCGCCUGCCUGCAGUCCGUGGCUUUGGUGGCAACUUUACGGUGAACUACAUUC